AGGGAUCAUUACUGAGUUACCGCUCAUCAACCCUUUGUGAACAUACCUUAACUGUUGCUUCGGCGGGUAGGCGUCCCCUAAAAAGGACGUCUCCCGGCCCUCUCCCGUCCGCGGGUGGGGCGCCCGCCGGAGGAUAACCAAACUCUGAUUUAACGACGUUUCUUCUGAGUGACACAAGCAAAUAAUCAAAACUUUUAACAACGGAUCUCUUGGUUCUGGCAUCGAUGAAGAACGCAGCGAAAUGCGAUAAGUAAUGUGAAUUGCAGAAUUCAGUGAAUCAUCGAAUCUUUGAACGCACAUUGCGCCCGCCAGCAUUCUGGCGGGCAUGCCUGUUCGAGCGUCAUUUCAACCCUCAAGCUCUGCUUGGUGUUGGGGCUCUACGGUUGACGUAGGCCCUUAAAGGUAGUGGCGGACCCUCUCGGAGCCUCCUUUGCGUAGUAACAUUUCGUCUCGCAUUGGGAUUCGGAGGGACUCUAGCCGUAAAACCCCCAAUUUUACUAAGGUGUGACCUCGGAUCAGGUAGGAAUACCCGCUGAACUUAA
This is a ribosomal RNA of 542 nucleotides. The stretch from base 190 to 343 matches the Rfam family "5.8S ribosomal RNA".